UUCUUCCUGCGCCCACCCCCACCCGCAGGAAUGCCACAUGGCCUCCGAAGUGGAGCGGUGGGAGCCCGGCUUCGGGAGAGUCCGCUCCGGGGCAGGAAGUGGCCCGUUCCUCCUCUCGCGGAGCGUUUCCGGAGCGCCUACUGUGUGCUCCAGGCUGGGAGUGGGGGCCGUUUGCCGAGGGGAGAAGUAAUGCAAAGCCUGACGUUCGUGAGACCGCUGCCUCCAGCACGUCUCCCGCCGGCGGUGUGAUGGCUCCCAUCGCACCGGGAGGAAACUGAGGCCCAGUGAGCCGGGGCGUUUACCCCAGCUGGUGAGGACCGGGCUCUGCACACGACGCCUCAGCGGCCGCUAGACUCAGGUAGAAGGCUGCCUCGGACACAGCCCCAAAGCACGCAGCUCCUGGGUCUAGACACAAGUGGCGGCCUGAGCACUGUUCCUUCUGGUGGAAGAUUGCAGACUACUACAUACCCCUGACCAGGAGCUGACUUCUUACAGCACCUCUGGGACCUCUGUACAGCAGGAUGUUGUAAUGGGACCCUGAGGCCCCUGAAGACAGUGACUAUGUGGUUUCCGUCCCUGUGAUCCUGUUUCCAGCCCAGAAGACGCACCCAGGCAAAGGUCUGCUGACAUUUAGGAGAUACGACCCAGCUCCUGACUUUACCCCAGAAGAGGUAUAGGCCUACAGGGCCUCCCCCCGGAAGAAGCCCGUGAAGAUGCAGCAAGUAGCGAAGUGUCUGUAGGAACUGACUUGGCAAGCGGAAGACAGAGGCGCUGGGACAAGUCGUGACUACAGGCUUCUUCCUCACGCCCCCGGACCCAUCCUUGAUCAAUUUUUUCCCAGCCACCCUGAAAGCCCAAUAUGGUGACAUUUGGGGAGAUCUCUUUGAAAGAACACCUACCCAAGUGAAGGUCACCAAACUCCCCACCCGCCCCGACAAUGGUGCAGGGUAUGAACUGGGUGAUUAGCGGCUAACAGUCAUAAUUACCAGUGUUCAGUGUCUGCUCAGGAAUCUGCAGUGGCCCAGUCACUGUCCGAGGUCCUUACACCUGCGUCUUACAUUUGAUCCCCUCAGGAGAUGUUUUCACCAUCUCCCCGCGUGCUGCUGAGGAAACGGGGGCUCAGAGAGGUUGAGGGACUUGCUCAGCGUCACACAGCAAGUCACGUUCUAUCUGGUAAGUGAGCGCAGACCCUAUAGGUUUCAAUCUCCAGAACCCUACCUUCCCAGCAACCAUUCUCACAAGUAGUAAAAACACGAGCUCACCGAUGAAUACCACCGCACACGCAUUCCUUCAAGGCUUAGAAGCCACUGCAGAAAGACAAGUUUGGUCUCCUGCUGGUGGAGAGCACACUCCCACAAAGACCUCCAGGCCAAGCCAGCACCCCAGAGAGCACCUGAAGAAAGUGGACUUUACC
This is a long non-coding RNA of Mustela erminea (ermine), 1414 nucleotides long. RefSeq lists it as uncharacterized. The record is from RefSeq and is a predicted model, not a curated record. The transcript has 3 exons. Lineage: Eukaryota; Metazoa; Chordata; Mammalia; Carnivora; Mustelidae.